UACGUAGGGGGCAAGCGUUGUCCGGAAUUAUUGGGCGUAAAGAGCGUGUAGGCGGUCCGGUAAGUCGGCUGUGAAAGUCCAGGGCUCAACCCUGGGAUGCCGGUCGAUACUGCCGGACUAGAGUUCGGAAGAGGCGAGUGGAAUUCCCGGUGUAGCGGUGAAAUGCGCAGAUAUCGGGAGGAACACCUAUGGCGAAGGCAGCUCGCUGGGACGUUACUGACGCUGAGACGCGAAAGCGUGGGGAGCAAACGGG
Molecule: ribosomal RNA, 253 nt
Filed under: uncultured bacterium
Lineage: Bacteria
Description: partial 16S ribosomal RNA
Rfam family: Bacterial small subunit ribosomal RNA
Source: RNAcentral